RNAcentral lists this ribosomal RNA (517 nucleotides) under uncultured bacterium. RNAcentral describes it as "bacterial SSU rRNA". It matches the Rfam family "Bacterial small subunit ribosomal RNA", at positions 29 to 518 of the family's 1533-position model. The record is from RNAcentral.
ACGAACGCUGGCGGCGUGCCUAUACAUGCAAGUCGAACGGUCUUUCUAUGGAAGCUUGCUUCCACUGAGAAGAUAGUGGCGGACGGGUGAGUAACAACGUGGGUAACCUGCCCAUAAGAGGGGGAGUAACAUCCGGAAACGGGUGCUAAUACCGCAUAGUUUUCUUGAUCGCAUGAUUGAGAAAGGAAAGACGGCCUUUGUGCUGUCGCUUAUGGAUGGACCCGCGGCGUAUUAGUUAGUUGGUGAGGUAAUGGCUCACCAAGACGAUGAUACGUAGCCGACCUGAGAGGGUGAUCGGCCACAUUGGGACUGAGACACGGCCCAAACUCCUACGGGAGGCAGCAGUAGGGAAUCUUCCGCAAUGGACGAAAGUCUGACGGAGCAACGCCGCGUGAGUGAAGAAAGGUUUUCGGAUCGUAAAACUCUGUUGUCAGAGAAGAACAAGUCGGAGAGUAACUGCUCCAGCCUUGACGGUAUCUGACCAGAAAGCCACGGCUAACUACGUGCCAGCCGCGGC